AGGGCGCACGGUGGAUGCCUUGGCACUAGGAGCCGACGAAGGACGUGACAAACGACGAUAUACCUUGGGUAGCUGUAAGUAAGCGAUGAUCCAGGGAUUUCCGAAUGGGGGAACCCAACAGGUAAUACCUGUUACCCACAUCUGUUAAGGAUGUGAGGAGGAAGACGCAGUGAACUGAAACAUCUAAGUAGCUGCAGGAAGAGAAAGCAAAAGCGAUUGCCUUAGUAGCGGCGAGCGAAACGGCAGAAGGGCAAACCGAAGAGUUUACUCUUCGGGGUUGUAGGACUGCAAUGUGGACUCAAAGAUUAUAGAAGAAUGAUUUGGGAAGAUCAGCCAAAGAGAGUAAUAGCCUCGUAUUUAAAAUAGUCUUUGUACCUAGCAGUAUCCUGAGUACGGCGGGACACGUGAAAUCCCGUCGGAAUCUGGGAGGACCAUCUCCCAACCCUAAAUACUCCCUAGUGACCGAUAGUGAACCAGUACCGUGAGGGAAAGGUGAAAAGCACCCCGGGAGGGGAGUGAAAUAGAACCUGAAACCGUGUGCCUACAACAAGUUCGAGCCCGUUAAUGGGUGAGAGCGUGCCUUUUGUAGAAUGAACCGGCGAGUUACGUUAUGAUGCGAGGUUAAGUUGAAGAGACGGAGCCGUAGGGAAACCGAGUCUGAACAGGGCGAAUUAGUAUCAUGACGUAGACCCGAAACCAUGUGACCUACCCAUGAGCAGGUUGAAGGUGCGGUAAGACGCACUGGAGGACCGAACCAGGGCACGUUGAAAAGUGCUUGGAUGACUUGUGGGUAGCGGAGAAAUUCCAAACGAACUUGGAGAUAGCUGGUUCUCUCCGAAAUAGCUUUAGGGCUAGCGUCGACAUUAGAGAUUCUUGGAGGUAGAGCACUGUUUGGGUGAGGGGUCCAUCCCGGAUUACCAAUCUCAGAUAAACUCCGAAUGCCAAUGAAUUAUGGUCGGCAGUCAGACUGCGAGUGCUAAGAUCCGUAGUCGAAAGGGAAACAGCCCAGACCACCAGCUAAGGUCCCAAAAUAAUUGUUAAGUGGAAAAGGAUGUGGGGUUGCACAGACAACUAGGAUGUUAGCUUAGAAGCAGCUAUUCAUUCAAAGAGUGCGUAAUAGCUCACUAGUCGAGUGACCCUGCGCCGAAAAUGUACCGGGGCUAAAACAAUUUACCGAAGCUGUGGAUACCUUUAUAGGUAUGGUAGGAGAGCGUUCUAUGUGUGAUGAAGGUAUACCGUGAGGAGUGCUGGAACGCAUAGAAGUGAGAAUGCCGGUAUGAGUAGCGAAAGACAGGUGAGAAUCCUGUCCACCGUAAGACUAAGGUUUCCAGGGGAAGGCUCGUCCGCCCUGGGUUAGUCGGGACCUAAGGAGAGACCGAAAGGUGUAUCCGAUGGACAACAGGUUGAUAUUCCUGUACUAGAGUAUGUAGUGAUGGAGGGACGCAGUAGGCUAACUAAAGCAGACGAUUGGAAGAGUCUGUCUAAGCAGUGAGGUGUGAAUUGAGUCAAAUGCUUAAUUCUAUAACAUUGAGCUGUGAUGGGGAGCGAAGUUUAGUAGCGAAGUUAGUGACGUCACACUGCCAAGAAAAGCUUCUAGCGUUUAAACAUACUCUACCCGUACCGCAAACCGACACAGGUAGUCGAGGCGAGUAGCCUCAGGUGAGCGAGAGAACUCUCGUUAAGGAACUCGGCAAAAUGACCCCGUAACUUCGGGAGAAGGGGUGCUGACUUUAGGUCAGCCGCAGUGAAUAGGCCCAAGCAACUGUUUAUCAAAAACACAGCUCUCUGCUAAAUCGUAAGAUGAUGUAUAGGGGGUGACGCCUGCCCGGUGCUGGAAGGUUAAGAGGAGUGCUUAGCGUAAGCGAAGGUAUGAAUUGAAGCCCCAGUAAACGGCGGCCGUAACUAUAACGGUCCUAAGGUAGCGAAAUUCCUUGUCGGGUAAGUUCCGACCCGCACGAAAGGCGUAAUGAUUUGGGCACUGUCUCAACGAGAGACUCGGUGAAAUUUUAGUACCUGUGAAGAUGCAGGUUACCCGCGACAGGACGGAAAGACCCCAUGGAGCUUUACUGCAGUUUGA
RNAcentral lists this ribosomal RNA (2077 nucleotides) under Streptococcus pneumoniae GA19451. RNAcentral's name for it is "bacterial LSU rRNA". It matches the Rfam family "Bacterial large subunit ribosomal RNA", at positions 14 to 2114 of the family's 2925-position model. Lineage: Bacteria; Bacillati; Bacillota; Bacilli; Lactobacillales; Streptococcaceae. The record is from RNAcentral.